Molecule: long non-coding RNA, 302 nt
Filed under: Gossypium barbadense (sea-island cotton)
Lineage: Eukaryota; Viridiplantae; Streptophyta; Magnoliopsida; Malvales; Malvaceae
Description: long non-coding RNA (GBAR_LNC022682)
Source: RNAcentral
CGGGCACCAUCUCCCGGAAUACAUGCUUCACCAACACUUGCCCAACAUCAUCACGUAACGCACUAAUACGGCGGACCAACUCAAAAGGGCUCACACCGGCAGAAGGAUCAUUAAUCAAACUCACAGCCUGAGUGCAAUCAAGUUCAACCAACAGCCUACUGAAUCCCCUCGAUCGGGCAAGCUGCAAGCCAUCAGCAAUGGCCCAGUGUUCAGCUUUGCCCAAUUUCCGACAGAAAUCGAGACAUCACUGGCCAGCGUGAUCUACCAUACUAUUUAAUAUCCUUUUGCAAAGAGAUCUAUCU